CAGCCGCCGCGGGAAUACGUAGGUGGCAAGCGUUGUCCGGAAUUAUUGGGCGUAAAGGGCUCGCAGGCGGUUUCUUAAGUCUGAUGUGAGAGCCCCCGGCUCAACCGGGGAGGGUCAUUGGAAACUGGGAAACUUGAGUGCAGAAGAGGAGAGUGGAAUUCCACGUGUAGCGGUGAAAUGCGUAGAGAUGUGGAGGAACACCAGUGGCGAAGGCGACUCUCUGGUCUGUAACUGACGCCGAGGAGCGAAAGCGUGGGGAGCGAACAGGAUUAGAUACCCCGGUAGUCCCUGUCUCUUAUAC
RNAcentral lists this ribosomal RNA (301 nucleotides) under uncultured bacterium. RNAcentral describes it as "partial 16S ribosomal RNA". It matches the Rfam family "Bacterial small subunit ribosomal RNA", at positions 509 to 807 of the family's 1533-position model. The record is from RNAcentral.